AGUGAACGCUGGCGGUAGGCCUAACACAUGCAAGUCGAACGGCAGCACAGUAAGAGCUUGCUCUUACGGGUGGCGAGUGGCGGACAGGUGAGGAAUACAUCGGGAUCUACUUUUUCGUGGGGGAUAACGUAGGGAAACUUACGCUAAUACCGCAUACGACCUACGGGUGAAAGCAGGGGAUCUUCGGACCUUGCGCGAUUGAAUGAGCCGAUGUCGGAUUAGCUAGUUGGCGGGGUAAAGGCCCACCAAGGCGACGAUCCGUAGCUGGUCUGAGAGGAUGAUCAGCCACACUGGAACUGAGACACGGUCCAGACUCCUACGGGAGGCAGCAGUGGGGAAUAUUGGACAAUGGGCGCAAGCCUGAUCCAGCCAUACCGCGUGGGUGAAGAAGGCCUUCGGGUUGUAAAGCCCUUUUGUUGGGAAAGAAAAGCAGCAGGUUAAUACCCCGCUGUUCUGACGGUACCCAAAGAAUAAGCACCGGCUAACUUCGUG
Molecule: ribosomal RNA, 492 nt
Filed under: uncultured bacterium
Lineage: Bacteria
Description: partial 16S ribosomal RNA
Rfam family: Bacterial small subunit ribosomal RNA
Source: RNAcentral